AAAAACCAAAAAAAUCUUUUAAAAAACUCUCCCUUCCCUAGUCGUCCGGCCUCCAGUCCGGCCAUCGGCCACCGUGCCGGCCAUCGGCCAAUCAUCGGCCACCGUGCCAGCCAUCGGCCUCCGGCGACGGCACCGCCGUCUGCGGUGGCCAGAAAAGGAGAAAAUCUCCUAUUCGUCCCUUCGAAGCCCCUAAAUCCAGAUCCGGGCUCAAAAUUCCCAAAAUCGACGAAGAAGUCCUAAAAACCCCUAGAAACCUUUCGGCUUCUAACCGUCUGUCCUCGGAGACGGACCUCGGCCUUCCACAGUGUUUCAGAAGCGAACCAUGGUGAGUAUCUUCACCUCUUAGUUUAUUCUAUUUCAAUAAUAAAAAUAAAAAAAUAAUAAAACGAAGUAAAAAAAUCAACCUUUUGCCUUUUCGAUUGGUUUUCUGUGUUAGUUUCAGUUUGCACUUUCUGUGUAACAAUGCUGUGUUUUUUUUAUUGAUUUUUCUCCCUCAUUACAGUAUAUUGAUGGUAUUUUUAUAGCCGAAAUACCAAUAACAUAAAGAAACAGAUCUUUCUGAUUUCUUUGAUUUGCAAAUCUUCGAUGCUGUUGUUUCUUUUCUUGAUGUGGAGGUACGAUGCGCGUGAAGAUUCGGCUCGUGCAGAGGCCUUGGUUGUGGUGCAAGUGUUUCCUUAGAAAUCCUAGGGUUUCUGUAAAUGUCUUGGCCAUUGUAAUUUGGGCCACUAUUCUUGUAUUUUGGGUUUGAGUUUUGGGCAUAGUUUAUUGUAAAAGGACUGUUUAUUUGCUUCAUGUAGGCCGGGUAAAAAUUAAGCAUUACAUCCUUAUUCUUGAAAUAUUUUUGCAUUCUCAUUAAUCUAAAAUUCAG
RNAcentral lists this long non-coding RNA (868 nucleotides) under Gossypium barbadense (sea-island cotton). Its description in RNAcentral is "long non-coding RNA (GBAR_LNC022430)". Lineage: Eukaryota; Viridiplantae; Streptophyta; Magnoliopsida; Malvales; Malvaceae. The record is from RNAcentral.